CCUACGGGAGGCAGCAGUGAGGAAUAUUGGUCAAUGGACGAGAGUCUGAACCAGCCAAGUAGCGUGAAGGAUGACUGCCCUAUGGGUUGUAAACUUCUUUUAUAUGGGAAUAAAAUGUUCCACGUGUGGGAUUUUGUAUGUACCAUAUGAAUAAGGAUCGGCUAAUUCCGUGCCAGCAGCCGCGGUAAUACGGAGGAUCCGAGCGUUAUCCGGAUUUAUUGGGUUUAAAGGGAGCGUAGGUGGGUUGUUAAGUCAGUUGUGAAAGUUUGCGGCUCAACCGUAAAAUUGCAGUUGAAACUGGCAGUCUUGAGUACAGUAGAGGUGGGCGGAAUUCGUGGUGUAGCGGUGAAAUGCUUAGAUAUCACGAAGAACUCCGAUUGCGAAGGCAGUUCACUGGACUGCAACUGACACUGAGGCUCGAAAGUGUGGGUAUCAAACAGGAUUAGAUACCCGUGUAGUC
This 460-nucleotide ribosomal RNA is filed under the name uncultured bacterium. Its description in RNAcentral is "partial 16S ribosomal RNA". It matches the Rfam family "Bacterial small subunit ribosomal RNA", at positions 338 to 795 of the family's 1533-position model. The record is from RNAcentral.